RNAcentral lists this transfer RNA (76 nucleotides) under Escherichia phage T5. RNAcentral describes it as "tRNA-Gln". The stretch from base 15 to 76 matches the Rfam family "tRNA", at positions 1 to 58 of the family's 71-position model. Rfam says of the family: Transfer RNA (tRNA) molecules are approximately 80 nucleotides in length. Lineage: Duplodnaviria; Heunggongvirae; Uroviricota; Caudoviricetes; Demerecviridae. The record is from RNAcentral.
UUCUGCCAAACAAUUGGGGAUUAGCUUAGCUUGGCCUAAAGCUUCGGCCUUUGAAGUCGAGAUCAUUGGUUCAAAU